GUGUUUGUAUAGCUUUAUGCCAACGUAUUACUUGGGAUUGAAUUGAAGCAAGGAGUGUAUUACUAUAAAAUCAAAUAAGGAUGAAGCCUAUGUUUUCAUUUUUGUUUGUUGUGUUUAUUCUUUCCAUUGGGAUUGGUCCAUUCAAAGUUGUUGCAGAGGCAAGAAUUUGUGACACAAAAUUGUACGACUAUUGUGAAGCAGAGUGUUUCACUGAUUGUCCCAAGAAAUAUGGAAAGAAAGCCCAAGGUCUAUGCAAUGAAGCAAGUCAGUGCAUAUGUCGUCGGCAAUGUUAAGUAGUGUUUGACCUUCUCCUCCAAUGAUGUCUUUAUCAAUGCUACUUUAUGUAACCCUAAUGGGGGAUGUUUGGAUUCAAAGAAAUAAAAUUACUUUUUCAUAACUA
Long non-coding RNA from Glycine soja, 400 nucleotides. RefSeq lists it as uncharacterized. The transcript is spliced from 2 exons. The record is from RefSeq and is a predicted model, not a curated record. Lineage: Eukaryota; Viridiplantae; Streptophyta; Magnoliopsida; Fabales; Fabaceae.